Molecule: ribosomal RNA, 253 nt
Filed under: uncultured bacterium
Lineage: Bacteria
Description: partial 16S ribosomal RNA
Rfam family: Bacterial small subunit ribosomal RNA
Source: RNAcentral
UACGAACUGUGCGAACGUUAUUCGGAAUCACUGGGCUUACAGGGUGCGUAGGCGGCUUGUCAAGUAGGGUGUGAAAGCCCCCGGCCCAACCGGGGAAUUGCGCCCUAAACUGGCGAGCUGGAGUGAGAUAGGGGUGUGUGGAACUUCCGGUGGAGCGGUGAAAUGUGUUGAUAUCGGAAGGAACGCCGGUGGCGAAAGCGACACACUGGAUCUUGUCUGACGCUGAGGCACGAAAGCCAGGGGAGCGAACGGG